GAAUUGUUGUAAUGAAAAAAAAAAAAAAUAUCGAGCCAAAAAAAAAAAUUCAUCGAUUUACGUUCAUAUUGAAGUGCAUCAACCAAACCAAACAACAACAACAACAGCAAGAACAAAUCAAACAAUAAUUGAUCAUAUGUGUAGGUGGUGGUUAAAAGACAUGAAUCUAAUCAUGUAUAACGCCCAAUUUUAGAGAGAGAGAGAGAGAGAGA
Molecule: non-coding RNA, 212 nt
Organism: Dermatophagoides farinae (American house dust mite)
Lineage: Eukaryota; Metazoa; Arthropoda; Arachnida; Sarcoptiformes; Pyroglyphidae
Source: RefSeq, a predicted model, not a curated record